RNAcentral lists this ribosomal RNA (355 nucleotides) under uncultured eukaryote. RNAcentral's name for it is "SSU rRNA". It matches the Rfam family "Eukaryotic small subunit ribosomal RNA", at positions 592 to 951 of the family's 1831-position model. The record is from RNAcentral.
CAAUAGCGUAUAUUAAAGUUGUUGCAGUUAAAAAGCUCGUAGUUGGAUUUCUGGCCGAGUGUCCCCAGGCCAGCAUGACGUUUGGUCCUGGGCGCUCUGCCAUCCUUCUGUCAACCUUCGCCUCGUUCAUUCGUGGCUUUGGGGCUCAGAUAUUUUACCUUGAGAAAAUUAGAGUGUUUCAGGCAGGCUUUCGCCGGAAUACAUUAGCAUGGAAUAAUGGAAAAGGACUUCAACCUCUUCUGUUGGUCUGAGAGGCUGUAGUAAUGAUUAAUAGGGAUAGUUGGGGGCAUUAGUACUUAACUGUCAGGAGGUAGAAUUCUCCGUAUUUAGUUAAAGACUUAACUUAUGACGAAAG